Molecule: regulatory RNA element, 80 nt
Rfam family: ZMP/ZTP riboswitch aptamer (pfl RNA motif)
About the family: Previously known as pfl RNA. ZMP is also known as AICAR.
Source: Rfam
ACAGUAGUAUAUGACUGACGGAAAAAGUGGAGUAACCACGUGAAGUAUACGAAAAAAUGCCGACCGUCUGGGCGAUGUCU